RNAcentral lists this ribosomal RNA (498 nucleotides) under uncultured bacterium. RNAcentral's name for it is "partial 16S ribosomal RNA". It matches the Rfam family "Bacterial small subunit ribosomal RNA", at positions 29 to 507 of the family's 1533-position model. The record is from RNAcentral.
AGCGAACGCUGGCGGCGUGCCUAACACAUGCAAGUCGAACGUGAAAAGGGAAACCUGAGUAAAGUGGCGUACGGGUGAGUAACGCGUAGGUAAUCUACCCCAGAAUCUGGAAUAACCUGCCGAAAGGCGGGCUAAUACUGGAUAGAGCGAGGGAACUCGUAAGAGAGUUUUUCGGGAAAGGGAGCCCGCAAGGGCCUUCGUUCUGGGAUGAGCCUGCGUCUCAUUAGCUAGUUGGUAAGGUAACGGCUUACCAAGGCGAUGAUGAGUAGCUGGUCUGAGAGGAUGGUCAGCCACACUGGAACGGAAACACGGUCCAGACGGCUACGGGAGGCAGCCGUGGGGAAUCUUGCGCAAUGGACGAAAGUCUGACGCAGCCACGCCGCGUGAGUGAAGAAGGCCUUCGGGUUGUAAAGCUCUGUCGGAUGGGACGAACAUCUUCAUAGUGAAUAGCUAUGAGGACUGACGGUACCAUCAAAGGAAGCACCGGCUAACUCCGUG